RNAcentral lists this ribosomal RNA (440 nucleotides) under uncultured bacterium. Its description in RNAcentral is "partial 16S ribosomal RNA". It matches the Rfam family "Bacterial small subunit ribosomal RNA", at positions 338 to 795 of the family's 1533-position model. The record is from RNAcentral.
CCUACGGGCGGCAGCAGUAGGGAAUAUUUCACAAUGGGGGAAACCCUGAAGCAGCAACGCCGCGUGGAGGAUGAAGGUUUUAGGAUUGUAAACUGCUUUUGUUAGAGAGGAUUAUGAUGGUAUCUAACGAAUAAGCACCGGCUAACUCCGUGCCAGCAGCCGCGGUAAUACGGAGGGUGCAAGCUUUACUCGGAAUCACUGGGCGUAAAGAGUGGGGAGGCGGGGUAAUAAUUCAGAUGUGAAACCCUGUUGCUUAACUACAGAACUGCAUUUGAAACUGUUAAUCUGGAGUGUGGGAGGGGUAGGUGGAAUUAUUGGUGUAGGAGUGAAAUCCGUAGAGAUCAAGAGGAACACUCAUAGCGAAGGCGAGCUGCUGGAACAUUACUGACGCUGAGGCACGAAAGCGUAGGGAGCAAACAGGAUUAGAUACCCGAGUAGUC